CACAUUGGGACUGAGAUACGGCCCAGACUCCUACGGGAGGCAGCAGUAUGGAAUUUUGCGCAAUGGACGAAAGUCUGACGCAGCAACGCCGCGUGAGCGAUGAAGGUUUUCGGAUCGUAAAGCUCUGUUGGGUGGGACGAAACGUUUCGAGGUUAAUAUCCUCGAGAUCUGACGGUACCAUUCGAGGAAGCUCCGGCCAACUACGUGCCAGCAGCCGCGGUAAUACGUAGGGAGCAAGCGUUGUUCGGAAUCACUGGGCGUAAAGGGAGUGUAGGCGGAAAGGCAAGUCAGAAGUGUAAUCUACGGGCUCAACCCGUAGCUCGCUUUUGAUACUGCUUUUCUUGAGUAGUGGAGAGGGAAACGGAAUUCCAGGUGUAGCGGCGGAAUGCGUAGAUAUCUGGAAGAACACCAGUAGCGAAGGCGGUUUCCUGGCCACAUACUGACGCUGAGGCUCGAAAGCGUGGGGAGCAAACAGGAUUAGAUACCCUGGUAGUCCACGCCGUAAACGAUGGGCACUAGAUAUCGGGGAAUUCAUUUUCUUCGGUGUCGCAGUUAACGCGAUAAGUGCCCCGCCUGGGGAGUACGCUCGCAAGGGUGAAACUCAAAGGAAUUGACGGGGGCCCGCACAAGCGGUGGAGCAUGCGCUUUAAUUCGAUGCAACGCGAAGAACCUUACCUGGGCUUGACAUGGGAGUGAAACUUCCCAGAGAUGGGAAGCCUUCCUUCGGGAACACUCUACACAGGUGCUGCAUGGUUGUCGUCAGCUCGUGUCGUGAGAUGUUGGGUUAAGUCCCGCAACGAGCGCAACCCUCGCCCUUAGUUGCCAUCAGGUAAUGCUGGGAACUCUAGGGGGACCGCCUGGAACAACCAGGAGGAAGGUGGGGAUGAUGUCAAAUCAUCAUGGCUCUUACGUCCAGGGCUAGACGCGUGCUACAAUGGUCGGUACAGAAGGAUGCCAAGUCGCGAGACCGAGCUAAUCCAUUAAAACCGGCCUCAGUUCGGAUUGGAGUCUGCAAUUCGACUCCAUGAAGUUGGAAUCGCUAGUAAUCGCGGAUCAGCAUGCCGCGGUGAAUAUGUUCCCGGGCCUUGUACACACCGCCCGUCAAGCCACGAAAGAUGGGAGUGCCCGAAGUCGCUUUGUCCAACCCGCAAGGGGGGACGGUGCCGAAGGUAAGACUAUUGACUUGGGGCUAAGUCGU
This 1198-nucleotide ribosomal RNA is filed under the name uncultured organism. RNAcentral describes it as "bacterial SSU rRNA". It matches the Rfam family "Bacterial small subunit ribosomal RNA", at positions 309 to 1489 of the family's 1533-position model. The record is from RNAcentral.